UACGGAGGGUGCAAGCGUUGCUCGGAAUCACUGGGCGUAAAGGGCGCGUAGGCGGCGCGGGCAGUCAACGGUGAAAGCUCGGGGCUCAACUCCGAGUCGGCCGUCGAUACUCCCGCGCUCGAGCACUGUAGAGGCAGGUGGAAUUCCGGGUGUAGCGGUGGAAUGCGUAGAGAUCCGGAAGAACACCGGUGGCGAAGGCGGCCUGCUGGGCAGUAGCUGACGCUGAGGCGCGAUAGCGUGGGGAGCAAACAGG
This 253-nucleotide ribosomal RNA is filed under the name uncultured bacterium. RNAcentral describes it as "partial 16S ribosomal RNA". It matches the Rfam family "Bacterial small subunit ribosomal RNA", at positions 524 to 776 of the family's 1533-position model. The record is from RNAcentral.